GAGGGUAUAGCUCAAGCGGUAGAGCACAUGCUUAGCAUGCAUGAGGUUCUGGGUUCAAUCCCCAGUACCUCCA
RNAcentral lists this transfer RNA (73 nucleotides) under Camelus bactrianus (Bactrian camel). It matches the Rfam family "tRNA". From Rfam's summary of the family: Transfer RNA (tRNA) molecules are approximately 80 nucleotides in length. Their secondary structure includes four short double-helical elements and three loops (D, anti-codon, and T loops). Further hydrogen bonds mediate the characteristic L-shaped molecular structure. tRNAs have two regions of fundamental functional importance: the anti-codon, which is responsible for specific mRNA codon recognition, and the 3' end, to which the tRNAs corresponding amino acid is attached (by aminoacyl-tRNA synthetases). tRNAs cope with the degeneracy of the genetic code in two manners: having more than one tRNA (with a specific anti-codon) for a particular amino acid; and 'wobble' base-pairing, i.e. permitting non-standard base-pairing at the 3rd anti-codon position. Lineage: Eukaryota; Metazoa; Chordata; Mammalia; Artiodactyla; Camelidae. The record is from Rfam by way of RNAcentral. RNAcentral also lists the same sequence under 2 other names.